AGCAUUAGGGAAAGUCAGGGCAAUUGGACACGCAGUUGAAGCAACGAUUAUGGUGAAGGCGGUACUCUUGUCAUGGUUGAUCCUUAUUUUGAAAGUGAAUGCUUCUUUAUCACAGGACGCCACUAGUAUUUCAUAACGAACAAGACAAAAAAGCAGACUUGAGCAACUCCUCCGGCUCAGAAGAAAUUUACUGUAACAUGCGAAACCACCGGUGCCCCUAGCGGAGCUUUUGAAAAACAGUACUCCAAAAGAUGUCGACUUUUUUAAGACAAAAGCUGGUGUCGAGGCGAAAUCAGGAUACAUUACGGUUCAACCAGGAAGUCACCUGUUUUUUC
Long non-coding RNA from Dermacentor silvarum, 335 nucleotides. RefSeq lists it as uncharacterized. NCBI's taxonomy places the organism in Eukaryota, Metazoa, Arthropoda, Arachnida, Ixodida, Ixodidae. The transcript has 3 exons. The record is from RefSeq and is a predicted model, not a curated record.